This is a long non-coding RNA of Polypterus senegalus (gray bichir), 489 nucleotides long. RefSeq lists it as uncharacterized. Lineage: Eukaryota; Metazoa; Chordata; Cladistia; Polypteriformes; Polypteridae. The transcript is spliced from 3 exons. The record is from RefSeq and is a predicted model, not a curated record.
GCACCUCUUGGUGAUUUUCUGCACAGCACUCUGUGCCUUUACAGGCUUCACUAGUGUGGCAAUACAGCCAUUUCUUUACCUGUCAGAGCAAUGAGCACCCCAGAGAACUGAUGAUUUACCGUUGUCAGAUGAGGAAUGAUAUGCAAACUCUGAACGGAGGAAUUUCCUUAGGGUGAUCCAUCCCUCCCAAGACAGCAGGAGUUGGAUGCAAACCUGGGACCUUAGGAUGACAUUUAGCCCUGCUCAGCCAGAUGAACAAAAUUUAGAAAUCUGUCAACCAGCAACUGACAAAUCUGAAAUUCUAAAGAAGUGCUUUUGAAAGGCAGAUCCUAUCCCAACAGCAAUGAGCACAAGGCAAGUAUGGACUCAGAAAACUCACAUUUUUAACCACAGUCACACAGUUUGGGACAAUUUUGAUGGCAUUUAAAAGAAACACCUAAGCAGAGGAAGAACAUGGACACUGCACAAAGAAGGAAGCUCAACUGAGAA